UCGGAUAUGGUGUAGUGGCUAACGUCGCUGACUCCCAUUCUUGAGUCCUUAAUUGCCCGGGAUUCGAUUCCCCGUUUCCGAG
Immersiella caudata is the source of this 82-nucleotide non-coding RNA. Lineage: Eukaryota; Fungi; Ascomycota; Sordariomycetes; Sordariales; Lasiosphaeriaceae. The record is from the annotation of a GenBank genome assembly.